Molecule: ribosomal RNA, 446 nt
Filed under: uncultured bacterium
Lineage: Bacteria
Description: partial 16S ribosomal RNA
Rfam family: Bacterial small subunit ribosomal RNA
Source: RNAcentral
GACCAGACUCCUACGGGAGGCAGCAGUGGGGGAUAUUGCACAAUGGGGGAAACCCUGAUGCAGCGACGCCGCGUGAGUGAAGAAGUAAUUCGUUACGUAAAGCUCUAUCAGCAGGGAAGAAAAUGACGGUACCUGACUAAGAAGCCCCGGCUAACUACGUGCCAGCAGCCGCGGUAAUACGUAGGGGGCAAGCGUUAUCCGGAAUUACUGGGUGUAAAGGGAGCGCAGACGGCAGUGCAAGUCUGGAGUGAAAGCCCGUGGCUUAACCACGGGACUGCUCUGGAAACUGUGCAGCUAGAGUACAGGAGAGGAAAGCGGAAUUCCUAGUGUAGCGGUGAAAUGCGUAGAUAUUAGGAAGAACACCAGUGGCGAAGGCGGCUUUCUGGACUGAAACUGACGCUGAGGCACGAAAGCGUGGGGAGCGAACAGGAUUAGAUACCCCCGUA